RNA transcript from Setaria italica (foxtail millet), 5614 nucleotides. It is a transcript of the gene named translation initiation factor IF-2, with no coding region annotated. Lineage: Eukaryota; Viridiplantae; Streptophyta; Magnoliopsida; Poales; Poaceae. The transcript has 9 exons. The record is from RefSeq and is a predicted model, not a curated record.
UUUGUAGUGGCAGUUUUGAAAUUGUAGACAAAAGAAAGAACUGUGGCAUGUGUGCUACUCUGAGACCGCACUGAGAGGCCAAUGAUGCAAGUCAGUCAACUUUACCCGUCACAUGCGUGGCUGUUGAUGGUCUGGGCCAGCUUGGAUUGAUCGUUGACAUUAUUACACCUACCAACAAGUCUCUUCCUUCUUUCCAUCGCCUGUUGCCUCUUCUCAGAUCUCCUAAUCAGAUCUCCUAAUCAGAUCUCCCUGUGGUUGAGCAAGGAAACAUGGCAGAGUCGCUGCUGCUCCCCGUGGUGCGCGGCGUCGUCGGCAAGGCGGCUGACGCUCUCGUGCAGAGCAUCACUCGCAUGUGGGGCGUCGACAAGGACCGCCUCAAGCUCGAGCGCCACCUGCUGUACGUGCAGUCCUUGCUGGCCGACGCCGAGGCGAAGAGCGAGACCAACCACGCCGUCCGGACGUGGAUGAAGGAGCUCAAGGCCGCCGCAUACCAGGCCGACGACGUCCUCGACGACUUCCAGUACGAGGCGCUGCGCCGUGAGGCCCUGAGCGGCCAGUCCAUGGCAAGCAAGGUACUGAGCAACUUCACCUCAAAGAAUCGUCUUGUAUUCCGUCAUAAAGCGAGCAGAGAUCUGAAGAACGUGCUCGAAAAGAUUGACGAGCUCGUGACCGAGAUGACAAAGUUUGGCCUGGUGGCGCUUGCGGAGGCGCCGCUGCAAGCUCUUCCUCGGCAGACGCACUCAGCACUGGAUGAAUCCAGAGAGAUAUUUGGCAGAGAAGAUGACAAAGAUGGGGUGGUGAAACUGUUGCUGGACCAGCAAGAUCGGCAGGAUGUACAAGUGCUACCCAUCCUUGGAAUGGGGGGUGUGGGCAAGACCACGCUAGCCAAGAUGGUGUACAACAACGACAAAAUUCAGAAGCACUUUGAAUUGAGGAUGUGGCACUGCGUGUCAGAAAAUUUUGAAGCUAUUCCUCUUGUUAGAUCUGUAAUUGAGUUGGCUACAAAUAGCACAUGUGAUCUGCCUGACACGAUCGAGCUGCUGCGAGGAAAACUGCAGGAAGCUAUUGGCCGCAAAAGGUUCCUACUCAUUCUCGACGAUGUGUGGAACGAAGACCAAAACAAGUGGGAGGAUGACUUGAGGCCGCUACUUUGUUCUUCAAUUGGUGGAUCAGGAAGCAAGAUAGUUGUUACAAGUAGAAGCCGACAAGUGGCGUCAAUAAUGGGCACCCUUCCACCUCAUGAAUUAGUGUGUUUGAGCGAAGAUGAUUCAUGGGAAUUGUUCUCAAAGAAAGCAUUUAGUAAAGGAGUGCAAGAGCAAGCAGAGUUUGUCAAAAUUGGCAGAUGUAUCAGCAAGAAGUGCAAGGGACUGCCUCUUGCACUGAAGACAAUGGGUGGAUUGAUGAGUUCAAAACAACAAAUCGAGGAAUGGAAGGCCAUUGCAGAUUGCAAUAUUAGUGAUACCAAUAGAGGUAAAGAUGAGGUACUGCCCAUACUAAAACUGAGCUACAAGCACUUGUCCCCUGAGAUGAAGCAAUGCUUUGCCUUCUGUUCACUUUUCCCCAAGGACUAUGAGAUGGAGAAGGACAUGUUGAUUCAACUAUGGAUGGCAAACGGUUAUGUUCACGAAGAGGGGACGAUGGACUUGACACAAAAAGGGGAAUAUGUCUUCAACGAGUUGGCUUGGAGGUCCUUUUUCCAACAUGUGAUAUUAGUGAGGGUGCCCUAUUCUAAUUUUAUACAUGACUCAAAACAUGAGAUAAAUGGAUGUAAAAUGCACGACUUGAUGCAUGACCUUGCAAAAGAUGUUGCACAUGAAUGUGCAAAUGCGAAAGAGUUAAUUCAGCAAAACCUGCCUGUAAAUGACAUCCGUCACUUGCAUAUUUCGAGACAUGAUCAAUUGAAUAAAAUCAGCCAGUUACACGGAGGCACUAUGUAUCUUCGCACUUUGUUGAUACCACCAUCAUUGUACAAGGAUCUGUCCAAGGAUAUGGUGAAGUCAAAACUGAUGUCAUCAAGAGCAUUGAGUAUUCGUUGCAGAGAUACUUCAAUCGUCCAUAUGGAGCUCACACGCACAACACAUUUACGGUAUCUUGAUCUCUCUGGCUCGAUGAUUGUCAGCUUGCCAAACUCAAUCUGUAUGUUGUAUAAUUUACUGUCUUUGAGGCUUAAUGGCUGCUCCCGACUACAAUAUUUACCUGAGGGUAUGAGAACUAUGAGGAAGCUCUGCCAUAUUUGUCUCUUCGGGUGUCGUAGCUUGGAACGAAUGCCCCCAAAACUUAGUGUACUACACAACCUUCGCACACUAACAACAUUUGUUGUGGGCACAAAAGAUGGAUGUGGAAUCGAGGAGCUCGAAGACCUACGACAUAUUGGCAACAGGUUGGAACUGUAUAAUUUGCGGGAAGUAAAGUGUGGGUCGAAGGCCAAUCUCCAUGCGAAAUAUAAUCUAAAUGAACUGUUGUUGUGUUGGGAUCAUUUUCGUGAUGAAUAUGAUGAGUCUACAAUUGGUGAGGCCACUAAUCAUGAACAAGUAUUGGAAUCUCUUGUACCUCAUGAUAAGCUAAAAAUUUUGGAGGUGCGUAGUUAUGGUGGCCACACAAUCUCAGAAUGGAUGAGAAACCCUCAAAUGUUCCGGUGCUUGAGAGAACUCAUUAUGAUGGAAUGCCGAGGAUGUAAGGACCUGCCAAUAGUAUGGUUGUCAUCCUCUCUUGAGCAUUUGUGUUUACGGCACAUGGAUAGCUUGACCACGUUGUGUAAGAACAUCGACGUGGAAGCUGAAGCAGACAAUACCUCUCUGCAAAUAUUCCCCAAGCUAAAGAGGAUGGAAUUAAUUGCUUUGCCUGAGUUGGACAGAUGGGCAGAAAAUAGUGCUGGAGAGAUUCUUAGCUCGGUGACGUUUCCCCGGCUUGAAAAACUAGUUAUUAAGAAUUGUGAUAAGCUUGCAAGUCUCCCAAGGUUACCGGUUCUCACAUAUCUCAAUCUAUCUGGCCGCGAAGGGAAUAAUUCUACAGGAGCUCUUAUUUCGAUGCCUUUGGGCUCUUUGCCAUCUCUUAUCCACUUAAGAAUAUCAUUUUUGCUGGUAGACGUGAUGAUGCCUCCAGACGGCGAGGAAAGCCAGAGUCAAAGACCUUUGGACACACUACGAUAUUUGACACUUGAGGGUGACGACGCCUUCAUAACGAUAUUUAAUAAAUCCAAAUUGCAACUUGGGCUUGGAGCUCUGCACAUUAGUCGUUGCUCCAAACUUGACGGAAUCCUUCCUCUGCUCCCCAAGUUUCCCGCAUCCCUCGAGGAAAUCUGGAUUGACAACAACAGAAGUUUGGUGGCGCUGCCUUCAAACCUCGGAGAUCUGACCAAGCUGAGGAGACUCUCUGUGUGGAGUUGCAAUGCACUGAAAGCGUUGCCAGAUGGGAUGGAUGGUCUCACUUCCCUUGAGGAGUUGGUUAUUGAUGGUUGUCCAGGGAUAGAGAAAUUUCCGCAGGGUCUCCUGCACCGGCUCCCUGCCCUCAAAUACCUACAAAUAGGUGGCUGCCCUGACCUGCAGAGGCGUUGCAGAGAAGGUGGGGAGUACUUUGACUUGAUCGCUUCUAUUCCCGAUAAAGUCAUUGAAGCACCCGCACAGCCACGAAAGUGGUUCCUUCCCUCCUGCGGUGGUGGUUCUCAAGGCAACUGAGUAUGUCAUCGGAUUGACUACACUUGGAGUUGAGUUGGGUUUGGACUGAUCACUGGACGCGGUGCUCCACAUUAACCAAUCCGUGUCUCCUCGCUGGUUUUGUGCUGCAUAAGCAUUAUCGUUUCUCGGCAAAGGACAAUACAAAAAAUUAGAAGCCUGUUCCAUUCUGUGCCACGGAAGCCUCUUCUUGUCUCGCUGAUCAAGGCACGCGAAAUGCACAGCAGUGCAGGAUGAUCGAGCACAUGACAAUACGUCACAAGGAAGAAGUAAGUUAAGACUAAAAGGAAAAUCCUCUCAAGAGAUUAGUGCAACUGGGAUGAAGAAAGCACGGAACAUCGUGAUACCUCAAAUUCCGCUCGACGUGUCGAAUGGAACGCACUGCUGAGUGGUGGCAUGCCGGCCUGUGUGCAUAUCUUGAUGAGGGGACUAGAAUCAUGUUGCGAUCAUGCAGUUAGAUCAUCUCGUGUCGAGAACAAGAGCCGUGUCUGAAAAUACGCCCAAGAAAGAGAGCAUCCACCGGAGGCCACAAGAUGUUCUGGAACUGAAUUCUUGAAGAAUACCACAGGGUCUCUUUGGAAGAAUGUGACAGAAGAAUGAUCCACCAAACUGUUUGCAAAGAGAUCCUCCCUUCCCGGCCUUCAAAACAUCUGAUGCUGCAUUUUAAUUCCAGCAAGCCUUGGAAUUGCCGGCAAAUUUGGAAUCUUUUGGGUAGUAUUCAUGUAACCUUUGUCACAGUCUCCAAACCCCUGAUCCUCUCAAUUUGUUGAAGCAAAGGUGCGCCUGUUUCUUCAAGAUGAACCGCGUGAGGAGAAUUGCAGGAAUUGGCAAGGCUAAGGUUCCAUCUGCAGUUCAAAAAGACAGAGAUGAGAGCAUCGUUUUCUUCAGGGAGCUGUACAAGCGUGAGAAGGAUAAGGAUGUGAACCUCUUGGAACCAAUGUAUUCGGUCGAGUUUGAAGCUAUCCAAGGUGGCCAUGGCUGCAAAGUUCCCCCAGGAAAGAGAGACUUCCUCAUACCAGUGGACGAGAAGCAUGACUAUGACUGGUUGAUGACACCUCCAGCUGCACCACUGUUUCCUUCCCUUGAGAUUGAAGCCAACUCCUCCCAAAUGGUGUUCCAAAGGGUACCAAUCCCUACUCGUCAAGUUAAACCAUCAGCUCCAAGGCUCUUAGCCAAGCCUGAGGCAACUAAAGCAUCGGCACGACCAGCAUCACCCACAUCCAACUCUUCGUCGAGAAAAACCUUCAUCAAAGGCGCUCCAGCCAUCUCCAAAGAGAAGAAGCAACCUCACACCGCAGGCCAGAGAUCAGACCACAAGGUUCCAGUGAAUGGACAUCAGAAGGCCGCUGCUGCAGCUGUUCCAGCAGGUACCCGAACCAGUGGCGCGCCGAAGAAACACUCGGAGAGGUGCUAUGCAACCCAAACCGGUGGCACAAGCGCAACCAAGGGAGUGACAGACCAAGAAACCCCUUUCAAGGCUCCGAAGAAUCUGAUCACAACAACCCGGUCGAUAUUCCGGCGCCGAACUCCAUCGGCGGAGAAUGCUCGGAGCAAAGAUCCUGGGUCCGGUGCAGAUGUCAAGAAGGAGAACGGCAAGGCGAGGAGGCAGUCGUAUCCGCCGCCGGCGAUAAGAGGCAUGACGGAGCUGCAGUUACAGGACAGGCGGGAUGCGCUGCCGCCGAGAGGGAAGAGUGUGGCUGGGAGCGGCGGCGAGCUCGCCACCGGCAACGGUGGCCGUGCGGGGAGGGCAUCACUGAUGAAGGGCACGGGAAGAACUGAUGGGAGAGCAUGGGUCUGAUAUGAGCUUCGAAGCCAGGCGACGAAGGGAGCAUAUACUUCUACAGCCAUUUCCGGAAUCUGAAAUUCAUAUGGCGCCCUUGUAUUGCCAACUUUGCAAAAACAAAAUUAGAUAAAUCUAAUGCCAAAUCCUUCAGUUGUUGCUA